GGGCUGGACCUCUCGGGGUUACAGCCUUGCUGAAUUAUUCACCCUUGUCUUUUGCGUACUUCUUGUUUCCUUGGUGGGUUCGCCCACCACUAGGACAAACAUAAACCUUUUGUAAUUGCAAUCAGCGUCAGUAACAAAUUAAUAAUUACAACUUUCAACAACGGAUCUCUUGGUUCUGGCAUCGAUGAAGAACGCAGCGAAAUGCGAUAAGUAGUGUGAAUUGCAGAAUUCAGUGAAUCAUCGAAUCUUUGAACGCACAUUGCGCCCUUUGGUAUUCCAAAGGGCAUGCCUGUUCGAGCGUCAUUUGUACCCUCAAGCUUUGCUUGGUGUUGGGCGUCUUGUCUCUAGCUUUGCUGGAGACUCGCCUUAAAGUAAUUGGCAGCCGGCCUACUGGUUUCGGAGCGCAGCACAAGUCGCACUCUCUAUCAGCAAAGGUCUAGCAUCCAUUAAGCCUUUUUUUCAACUUUUGACCUCGGAUCAGGUAGGGAUACCCGCUGAACUUAAGCAUAUCAAUAAG
This 517-nucleotide unclassified non-coding RNA is filed under the name Alternaria alternata. Its description in RNAcentral is "sequence contains ITS1, 5.8S rRNA gene". The stretch from base 150 to 303 matches the Rfam family "5.8S ribosomal RNA". Lineage: Eukaryota; Fungi; Ascomycota; Dothideomycetes; Pleosporales; Pleosporaceae. The record is from RNAcentral.